Molecule: long non-coding RNA, 699 nt
Organism: Salvia miltiorrhiza (redroot sage)
Lineage: Eukaryota; Viridiplantae; Streptophyta; Magnoliopsida; Lamiales; Lamiaceae
Exons: 3
Source: RefSeq, a predicted model, not a curated record
GAGAGUGUAGAGAUUAGAGAGAGACUGUAGAGAUUAGAGAGAGAGAGAUCAAGGCAUUAAUUGCCAAUAUUUGCUAAGAUUUCCAAAUAUUCUCAAAGAUCAUCUAAAUCUUCUAAAAUCUUGCAAAUCAAAUCAUAUCUUUCCAAGCAACUCUCUCUCUCCAUCCUCACCAUUUUCGGCCAUCACCUUCUCUCCCUCAUCUCUCACUUUCCACCAUUAACAACCAUAGAUGAGACCUUCGGAGCUUCCAAAAAUUAUGCCAAACACAUAAAUCUCCAUCAAAAUCUUCCAUAAACACAUCCUAACUACUUAAAUUCAAGAGAAUCCUUGAAGAAGGGCUUCAAAGCUAGAGUGAGAAAGUGUGGGUUUUGGUAAGAAUUUGGGUCCGGGCGACAGGAAGUGAAGCCGAAGAAGAAGCGACUCCACGCUAGCUUAAGAACGUUUGAGGUUGAGCAGCUGAUGGAAUGGAAUGGUGUUGAGCGGGUGUUCCUUUGACAUUUCAAGAAAUGUAACCUUGAGUAUACAUCUUCAUAUGUAUAUCUCACAUGUUUUUCGCUGCAAACACUUUGAUUAGGAUAGUUCUAUGUUAUGAAGUUGUGACACGUGUUAUUGGGUAACCCACCUUAAUCAGUUUUCCUUUAUGAGUAUGUUUUAUAAGUAUCCAAAUAAUCAUAUAUGGUCCUAACGUUUUAUCUAUGA